GAUGAACGCUGGCGGCGUGCUUUACACAUGCAAGUCUAACGAUGAAGCCCAGCUUGCUGGGUGGAUUAGUGGCGAACGGGUGAGUAACACGUGAGUAACCUGCCCUUAACUCUGGGAUAAGCCUGGGAAACUGGGUCUAAUACCGGAUAGGAGCGCCUACCGCAUGGUGGGUGUUGGAAAGAUUUAUCGGUUUUGGAUGGACUCGCGGCCUAUCAGCUUGUUGGUGAGGUAAUGGCUCACCAAGGCGACGACGGGUAGCCGGCCUGAGAGGGUGACCGGCCACACUGGGACUGAGACACGGCCCAGACUCCUACGGGAGGCAGCAGUGGGGAAUAUUGCACAAUGGGCGAAAGCCUGAUGCAGCGACGCCGCGUGAGGGAUGACGGCCUUCGGGUUGUAAACCUCUUUCAGUAGGGAAGAAGCGAAAGUGACGGUACCUGCAGAAGAAGCACCGGCUAACUACGUG
This 466-nucleotide ribosomal RNA is filed under the name uncultured bacterium. RNAcentral describes it as "partial 16S ribosomal RNA". It matches the Rfam family "Bacterial small subunit ribosomal RNA", at positions 28 to 507 of the family's 1533-position model. The record is from RNAcentral.